CCUACACAGUACAAUACACACCUUCUCGCUCUAACAUUUUCUCUCUCUACUCCAGACGUUUACCCUCUAGUUCUUCAUAGUUUCAUCUAACAAAUACUUGAUUUGAUUUUAAUUAUGCAUUUUCGCACACAAAUUUUUGAAAUUAUUACGCAAAGGUUCGAUUUCUCAUUUGAAUCUGCAAGUUGAUUUCAUAAGCAAGUAUUUUCAAGAUACAUAUGCUGAUUUAGGUCCAAAAUCGUGGUUUAUGAAGCUUCAUUAUAAUUUUCAGGUUGAUCAUACCUAACUACCUCUACAAUUUGAUGAUUUUGCUGCAAUUUUCUCAACUUUAGAGUGCGGCUCAGGUUGUCCUACAGCCCCAUAAAAAGAUUGUAAAUUUAUUAAUUGGAAGUGGCUCUUCUCAACUUGGUAAGAUCACUAUUGUUAUUGAGCCACACCCCAUUGAUAUCCUAUAUCAGAGCCACACCCCAUUGAUAUCCUAUAUCAACCAAAUUUUGUUGAUAUAAUGGCAAUCUUGUAAUAUUUGUGAACUUUUUCUGAAUUCCACAACUUCACUAGUGGAAUGCUGAUGUGGACUCCGUUUGUCCAAAUUUUUAAUUAAAACUUGUAACGGUACUUAUAUUGACGGAAAAGUUAACGCCAUCUAUUCUAAUCUAUUGAGUUCCCAGAUGGAUGAGGAGAGAGAAUAACAGGUUGCUGCUCGUCAUAAGAGGUAAAUAUGGUUGUCGGCGGUGGAUAAUCCUGUACCAUCGUCGCUCAAACACUCAAAUCAAAAUGCAACUUCUAUUUUCGUCUCAAAUCGCAACAGUAUUUCGCUUUAAACAUGGAGUGCAGGAGAGAGAUUAUGCAAAAUUUCGACAUGGAAGUGUAGAUCCUUAGACCCGAAAUAUCAAGGUAAGAAAUUAUAGCUGAAUAAAUAUGUUAUCCCGUACGAAUAAUCCCUCCAGCAAUUUGGGAUUUGAUUCCUCGAAACCAACAAUGUUCAGCGUACGAUGAACCACUCUUUUUUUAUCAUCAAAAAUCCGACAUUUCCGUCUACACAUUAGUGACCAUUGUUGCAGACUUGCAGUAGAGAGUAGAGAGAGAAUACUCCACUCAUUAGUGACCAUCGUAUUGAGGAGAGAGAAACAAACGUUAACAGCGGUUGACGUCCACCACAAACCAAAACGGAGGACAUAUAACGGGAUAUCAUUUAUAUUCCAAUCUUGUCUUUACUUUAAUGACUGAUUAGACGAAAAAGCCCUUAUAUCAACGCGCUUUGUUGAUAUAGGAUAUGAAUAUGUAUUUGCUCAUUGUUAUUGCUGCUACAAAUUCUAAAACUAAGUUAGAUAUCCUUUAAAGUAGACUAAACUGCUCCAAAAGUUAUUAAACAAAGAGCUUCUGGUUGAGGAUUUUUUCAUAAUUUAAUUUUCACUUGUUAUAGGAUUUACGUAUUCACUAGAAUUUGGUAUCAUUGUACUGUGUUUACUUCAGCUUGUUAUACUUCACAGCCUUCAUUAACUGCUGCUUCAUGUCUCCUUUUCUUUGUCAAAUGAAAAUGUACUAAUGACAAUUUUGAUAUGAAAAAUUCUAUCCAUGAGCAAAAAUGGGUUGUU
Molecule: long non-coding RNA, 1592 nt
Organism: Chenopodium quinoa (quinoa)
Lineage: Eukaryota; Viridiplantae; Streptophyta; Magnoliopsida; Caryophyllales; Amaranthaceae
Exons: 3
Source: RefSeq, a predicted model, not a curated record